RNAcentral lists this long non-coding RNA (2516 nucleotides) under Equus caballus (horse). Its description in RNAcentral is "lncRNA (ENSECAG00000051355.1)". The record is from RNAcentral. Lineage: Eukaryota; Metazoa; Chordata; Mammalia; Perissodactyla; Equidae.
AGCUGGAUUCUGUGAUUGCAGUUAAAAGAACCUUAACUAAUACGGCCCAGAGCCAUUGGCACACUCAACACCUGCCAUACUACAGCCUCCAUUUGCAUUUUGCAAUCUUUGCUGUUCUCGCGUUGCGUCUGCCUCUCUGUGGCGUAUUUUCCCAUGUUUGGACAUUAUACAUACAAGAAAAGGGCUCCACAGAACAAGACAGCUGAUCUGUGAGUUUCAAAGUCUGAAUUCUGGAGGAAAGUGCUCUCUGCGAGAUGUAUUUAUGACUUACUUCAACCACAGGUGCUUGUGCUGCUGAAAGGUCGUGGAGGGCACAAUUCCUCCUUUGGGUGCAUACUGAGCACCUAAUGGGUGCAGGCAUGGCUCCGGGCCAGUGCUUCCAGUAGAACUUUCCUCAAUGAUGGAAAAUCCCACAGCUAUGCUGCCAUUUCAAAUAUGUGGCUACUGAGCACUUGAGAUGUGGCUCGUACGACUGAGGAGCCCAGUAUUUUAUUUUAUUUUAUUUUAAUUAACUUAAAUUUAAACAGCCACAUGUGGCUAAUGGCUCCUGUAUUGGACAGUGCAGUUCUAGAUACUUCACCUAAUUAAUUACGCAAGGCAGGGAACACCAGCUUAGUUUUACAGAUGAAGAAACUGAUACUCAGAGAGGCAAAAUGACAUGCCUGAGAUCACUGCAUGAGACAGCACAAGGAUUCAACCCAAAUCCAACCCGUGACAAACUGCUUCACACACACACACAGACAUACACGAUGUGUGUGAAACAUUGAUAGGGGACAAAAUAAAACUGAAUUUCCCAUCUCGGAGGCAUCGGCUCUGUUUUAGUUACAAAGCCAAAACAAAAAAGCAAGCCACGAAUCAGGACACACUAUCAAUUCCGCCUAACCAUGGAGACGGUCCAGCCAGCGGGCUUGGCUUUCUCCUGCAGCCGUCCUGGCUCGACAAGAGCCUUGUGGUCGCGUGUGUUUUAUUGCAUGCCGAAAACUCCAAGAUAGCUCGGCCUCCAAGAACAAAAGUGAUUGCGGGGUGAAGAGGGAAGGAGGGCAAGAGGCUGCCCCUCCCAUCUCCUAGGGUGGACACCAUGUCUGACAAGCCUCAUCCAGGCCUUUAAAGUACUGCACGGAUGCGGAGAGGGCCCGACUGUGCUGGGAAGCCUCCCCGGCUGCCUCCUCUGCUCCCCACACCCUGGGAAAACUCCAUCUCUAACAGUUACGGUCAGCCAUUUAAAUCACAUUACACUGUAAGUGGAUAUACAAAUUGUCAGCCCUAAUGAAAUUUAGGAGGAAACAGUGGGAGAGGUGAAAACACUUAGAACUGGUUUCUUGGUUUUCGAGACCCGAAUUCAAGUGGUUUAGACUGCUCGUUGAAAACGUGCUUGGAGUGUGGUUUUCCUGCCAGCACAUGGAGGCUCCCUGGGAACUCACGGCUGAGUCUUCUUCUUUGGUUCACUCUGGAAUUGCACUGCGUAAGAGCCCUCAGUGUAGACACGGCGCUGCUCACGGCAGGAGAGGGUCCUCCUCAUUUCUGAACCUCGCAAAAGGCCUGGCACUGAGAGGCAUUUGGGAAAUACGGAAUGAGAGACUAAAAGCAGAGAACCCCUGUGCACAGCCCGAAUCACGAAAGUCAGAGAGGCCCUAGGAAAGGAAAUCCACUUCGAUGAUGCCAGAAAUGCCUCCGUAAAGGCUGCUGGGGGCAGGGAGGGGGGAGAGAAGGGUCCCCUCCAGUCUGUUCUCCCAGAAAAUACAUGCUCAUUAGGCAAUGUGCUGAACAGCAUAUUGGAUUAACUCACGAAUUAUCUGCCACUAAAUGGUUGAGCAGGCCUGUCUCUCCAGGGCAGAGGGGUCUCGGCACCCACCAGGGCUUGUGGAUUAAGAGGAUACUAUACCAGCUUCCAUUUCCUCAAUGGUUACUCUGCUCCUGUCACUGCACGUCCUCCUGUGUAAUCCCCACAAAACCCCUGCAUGGCAGACAGGGUUUGCCCCUCUACAGGCAAGGAAAUGAAAGAUCAGAAAGGUCAAGAAACUUGCCCAAGAUUGUGCAGGUGUUUCUGAUUCCAAAGCUCCUGCUGGACGGGACGCCUGGAUGGGAUGUGAUGAAGAAACUGAGUCAAAGGAAGCCCAGGGGCUUGCCGAAGGGGGCUCAGCUUGCUCCCCACAGGAAGCAAGUGGGACGAAGGGUGUGCCUAGGAUUCUGGAGCCCGGAGCUGCUCUUCUCAGCCUCGGAAUCUCGCUCUGUGAAGAGGAGCCUCCUGUUACACCUGAGAAUACUGAAUGAAGGUCAGAGAGGGUAUCUUGCUGCAGGUGCUGUCAUCGAGAGAGGAGGGGUAGAGCGCCACUCACACAUCGUGGGAGAGACUGUGUGCAACGAUGCUGCAGCAACGUCCCCCCUCCUGCACAGAGCCCCUUCGCAGGGUGGCCUUGCCACUCCUCUCAUCGCGAGGUGGAGUCAAGUUCUCCACCCCUUUGAAUCUGGGCUGUCCUUGGGCUUGCUUUGACCAGUAGAAGGCAGAGGAAGUGAUA